Molecule: long non-coding RNA, 331 nt
Filed under: Homo sapiens (human)
Lineage: Eukaryota; Metazoa; Chordata; Mammalia; Primates; Hominidae
Description: non-protein coding lnc-KDM4C-5:6
Source: RNAcentral
AUGUCUGGAGAGCUGUGGUCCAAGGCCAUUUUUGCCAGCUAUAAGCAGGGUCUCCGGAACCAAAGGGAGUAGACUGCUCUUCUUAAAAUUGAAGAUGUUUAUGCCCAUGAUGAAACAGAAGUCUAUUUGGGCAAGAGAUGCGCUUAUGUACACAAAGCAAAGAACAACACAGUGACAUCUGGCAGCAAACCAAAAAAACCAGAGUAAUCUGGGUAAAGGUAACUUGGGCCCACGGAAACAGUGGCCUGAUUCGUGGCAAAUUCUGAAGCAAUCUUCCUGCUAAGGCUAUUGGACACAGAUCUGAGUGAUGCUGGACCCCUCAAGGAUUUAA